Molecule: ribosomal RNA, 549 nt
Filed under: Enterobacter hormaechei
Lineage: Bacteria; Pseudomonadati; Pseudomonadota; Gammaproteobacteria; Enterobacterales; Enterobacteriaceae
Description: bacterial LSU rRNA
Rfam family: Bacterial large subunit ribosomal RNA
Source: RNAcentral
GUUGUUGGGUAGGGGAGCGUUCUGUAAGCCGUUGAAGGUGUGCUGUGAGGCAUGCUGGAGGUAUCAGAAGUGCGAAUGCUGACAUAAGUAACGAUAAAGCGGGUGAAAAGCCCGCUCGCCGGAAGACCAAGGGUUCCUGUCCAACGUUAAUCGGGGCAGGGUGAGUCGACCCCUAAGGCGAGGCCGAAAGGCGUAGUCGAUGGGAAACAGGUUAAUAUUCCUGUACUUGGUGUUACUGCGAAGGGGGGACGGAGAAGGCUAUGUCAGCCGGGCGACGGUUGUCCCGGUUUAAGCAUGUAGGCGGAGGUUCCAGGUAAAUCCGGUACCUUAUUAACGCUGAGGUGUGAUGACGAGGCACUACGGUGCUGAAGUGAUAAAUGCCCUGCUUCCAGGAAAAGCCUCUAAGCAUCAGGUAACACGAAAUCGUACCCCAAACCGACACAGGUGGUCAGGUAGAGAAUACCAAGGCGCUUGAGAGAACUCGGGUGAAGGAACUAGGCAAAAUGGUGCCGUAACUUCGGGAGAAGGCACGCUGAUAUGUAGGUGAAG